GUAGUCCUGGCCGUAAACGAUGUCGACUUGGAGGUUGUUCCCUUGAGGAGUGGCUUCCGGAGCUAACGCGUUAAGUCGACCGCCUGGGGAGUACGGCCGCAAGGUUAAAACUCAAAUGAAUUGACGGGGGCCCGCACAAGCGGUGGAGCAUGUGGUUUAAUUCGAUGCAACGCGAAGAACCUUACCUACUCUUGACAUCCAGAGAACUUAGCAGAGAUGCUUUGGUGCCUUCGGGAACUCUGAGACAGGUGCUGCAUGGCUGUCGUCAGCUCGUGUUGUGAAAUGUUGGGUUAAGUCCCGCAACGAGCGCAACCCUUAUCCUUUGUUGCCAGCGGUUCGGCCGGGAACUCAAAGGAGACUGCCAGUGAUAAACUGGAGGAAGGUGGGGAUGACGUCAAGUCAUCAUGGCCCUUACGAGUAGGGCUACACACGUGCUACAAUGGCAUAUACAAAGAGAAGCGACCUCGCGAGAGCAAGCGGACCUCACAAAGUAUGUCGUAGUCCGGAUCGGAGUCUGCAACUCGACUCCGUGAAGUCGGAAUCGCUAGUAAUCGUAGAUCAGAAUGCUACGGUGAAUACGUUCCCGGGCCUUGUACACACCGCCCGUCACACCAUGGGAGUGGGUUGCAAAAGAAGUAGGUAGCUUAACCUUCGGGAGGGCGCUUACCACUUUGUGAUUCAUGACUGGGGUGAAGUCGUAACAAGGUAACCGUAGGGGAACCUGCGGCUGGAUCACCUCC
Molecule: ribosomal RNA, 740 nt
Filed under: uncultured bacterium
Lineage: Bacteria
Description: bacterial SSU rRNA
Rfam family: Bacterial small subunit ribosomal RNA
Source: RNAcentral